Molecule: long non-coding RNA, 582 nt
Organism: Oncorhynchus masou masou (cherry salmon)
Lineage: Eukaryota; Metazoa; Chordata; Actinopteri; Salmoniformes; Salmonidae
Exons: 3
Source: RefSeq, a predicted model, not a curated record
UCACAAUCUAUUUGAUUAUGUGUGGGUUGACGUGAAUGUCCUUUAGCUUUUGGGCCAGAAGGUGGGGUUGUAUGGUAUGGAAAGCACUGGAGAAGUCAAAGAACAUUGUUGUCACCACAUAGCCAGGCUUCUCCAGGUGCUCUGUGGAGGAGAUCGAGCAGAACAUCUUCAACACCAGUUUUAGGGUGGUAUGCAAAUAGCAAAGGAUCCAGGAGACUACCACUGGUGGCUUCUGUGGAGUUGGUGGGGGGCUGGUUGACAGGGAUAUCUGUUUGAAGAAAAAUGCAAGCUCCUGGAGGCAGUCCUCCUCCAGACCUGGCCGAGGGUUGGUGGGCACCAUGAUUUCUACUCCCCAGCAGCCACCACGUGACUGCUACCCUAUGAGGACGGACCUAAAGCCCAGAGCAUGCACUUUCCGGAGCUGCAGAAGACAAAAUGGUUUACAGAAUUAUAAUUUCAAUCAGGUGGCUGCUAAUCAUAAAUAAAAUAGGAAUUAGUUCAAUUCAAAUGGAAUAAAGCUAAGAAUGUGUCCAGAAAUAUGGAGGGUUACCAUUAUGAAAAGUGAGUCCAGGAACCUGGCAA